UGUUGCCCUUUCUUGAUGAAUAUGAGUGUCCCUUUAUGGAGUCACUGACGGUGGGAGUGCGCCAAUGAGGGUCACCACAAUUUGCCCUGUUCUAGAUUAUUUACCAUUUCUGGAAGAAGCAGAUGGAGCAAGAUAAGAUAGAAGGCAGUGUGGAGCAGCAGGAUGUAGGAGCCGGUGUUUGCCAUUUACCUAGCUGGUAUUUCUCUUCCAAACUCAUUUUUUCAUCAUCUGUAUAAUGGGAUUAAAUCCUAAGAGCCCUUCCAGCCUGUGGAUCCCAAGUGUGUUCCUUGUGGCUCUGCCUUUGCUCACUUAUUUUCGCUCCCCUCCUGUACUCUUCUCCUCCAAUCCCAGGAGGCAAGGAUCAGGAGAGAGACAGGUCAGUGUCUCCCCUUGAAUCUUGCUCCUUCUGUCUUGGACUCUUCUCAUGGACUGAGUGGCAAAGGUUAAGGCUAUGUUCCAUCCCCAGGGACUUGAGUGUGAGCCUCAUUGGUUGGAGAAGACUGGGAGCUAUUUCAGUAUCCCUUCCUGUUUGGGAGAUCUGCUCUGGACUAGCUUGAGGUUUCAGGUGGAAGAGAACCACCUGGAAUAAAAAUUCCAAAGCUUUUCCUUCCCUCCCAUUGGCUACCCUAGAGAAACAAGUCAGUUGUGGGCCAGAAGCUAGAUGGGCUGGGUAGGCUAAAACACUUGAAUAUGGGGAUUCCACCUCACCUAUUUCCUUGGAUUAAUAUAGUCUCUCACAAUACACUCCAAGUGCCCUCUGCAAUUUUUUUUUUAACCACCCUUAACAGACUGUUAUCACUAAUUUCCCCACCUUCUCUGUAAUCCCCCUUUUCUCCCAAAUCCCUAAUUUAUCCGAGCUGCCUUCCUUCAGGCAUUUAUUUCCCUAGAGCAAAGACUGACACCGCACCCUAUGGCCUGCCUUCGGUGAAGGAGAAGUGCUCCCAAUCUACAAUUGGCUUCUUGGGAAGCAGUGAAGUGCAUAUUAAUAGGCCUAGGAGGGGUGUGCCUCCUACUACUUACCCCAGGAAUCCCCAGCUGCUGUUUUGUGUUUUAAGGGAGAAUGGGGAAACCAGAGCAGAAGAUAAAAUUGUAAAAGAAACUAUUCCCCCUUUUUUUUCUGACAGGGGCUGGGUAGAGGGAGGAGAAUGUGGGGCUAGACACUAUCUGUGCAAUGUCUCCCUGGGGCAGACCUGUUCUGCUUUCUAUAGAUAUUUUUUGUUUUUAUUUUUUAUUAUUUUGAAAAAUUUUUUUAAAUAUGUAUAUAUCAAGAGUCUGUGAUUGGCUACUGAUGGUGUCUUAAAUACAAAAGUAAAGGGAAGGUUUGAAGAGGCAGUGAGUCUUACACUAUCUCGGAUGGAAAAGGGUGUAGAGAUAACUCCCACCCUCCUCCUUUCCCCGUGGCUCAGGGCCUCAGCCAGUAUCACAUGUUAGGCGAUCAAAUAGCACUUUUAUAGAGCCAUCUUGGCCACUUCGGUUUUAGGUUUUAUCUUCCUCCCCUGGUUAUCUUCCAGGGCUAACUUUUAAUUCUUAAAUGCAUUUGAAACUGUGGUUGAUCCGAUUUCCCACAGGUCACCACCAGCAGAUACUAUAAGCCAGAGGAGCUUUGAUUGAACACUCUGAGUGUUCCCUGGGGCUCAUCUGUGGUGAGAGGCAGAGUCUUGUAGUAGAAAAGAAGAAACUGAAAAUUUGCAUUCAAAUCCCUGCCCUCAACACUCAAUGCUUCUGUGUGAUCCCGGGCAAGAUUCUGAAACUCAAGUUGAUCUAUAAAAUGAGGUUAUAAUAGUAGCACUACCCAUCUCACAGGGUUGUUGUGAGGAAUGUGAUUUUUGUAAAUCUGAAAACACUAUAGAAAUGUGAACCAUCUUGGGGAUGCAUGGACCAGAAGCUCCCCCGUUCCGUGGAGCCUCAAAUGCCAACCCUAC
Molecule: long non-coding RNA, 1922 nt
Filed under: Sarcophilus harrisii (Tasmanian devil)
Lineage: Eukaryota; Metazoa; Chordata; Mammalia; Dasyuromorphia; Dasyuridae
Description: lncRNA (ENSSHAG00000027966.1)
Source: RNAcentral